This 115-nucleotide ribosomal RNA is filed under the name Chlamydiae bacterium GWA2_50_15. RNAcentral also lists the same sequence under 4 other names. Lineage: Bacteria; Pseudomonadati; Chlamydiota. The record is from RNAcentral.
GGUGGCGACUUUAGAAAAGGUGAAACACCUGAUCCCAUUCCGAACUCAGAAGUUAAGCCCUUUUUCGCCGAUGGUACUACGCACGAGAGUGUGGAAGAGUAGGGCGUCGCCACUU